UUUCUUUCUUGAGCGCCAGGACACCUUAAUGACGUGUCAUUGUGCUGGCACAGUGAUGGAUCUUUGAAGCUGUUACUACCUUUGUGUUUCUGUGGAUUGCAUGAUUGACUCCAACUACAUAUUUCCAAGGGUCAUUGCUGAGCCAGCUCACAAUACUAAGUUCAUCAGCUGAACCUUGUUUAAAAAGACAAACUGCUCCUUCAGUCUUAGACUGAUUUUGUUCUUCAUUGUCUUUUAUUACAAUGACCUCCUUUUCCUCCAUAUUUUCGAGUUCAUUUGAAUGUUCAGACACGUUGCUAGACCGGUUCGCAGCUUUCUUUGCUUUCAGAUUUUUGUCUUUUACAUUCAGACGGGAGAUGUUGACAAAACAGAUCACUUAGUCCUAGUCCUGGUCCUUCAGGUUUGUAGAGGUCUACUUUACACAUACUUGCCUGACUGGGUAGCCAGUCAGCUUCCUGAGACAUCUUUGCAGAUUUCUGAGACAUCUUUGGACUCAAUGACAGAGGUUAGAAGUGGGUAGGGGGUAUCUUCCAACAGGACUGUAAAGUGUUGACCUGCUGUGAUGACCCUGCCAGACUUGAUAUUGCCUUUCUCAACUUCUUAUGCUCUUUUACUGCCAAACCUGAUGUUCACUGUGUUGACUCCUGGUUUCUAUAGUAGCAGUGACAUCACAGAGAUUCAGUUUCACCAGCAGCGAGUGCUGUGCCAGCCUUCCAGUUACAACUCUGGGCUGGGCCAGGAUUGGAGACGGGAACUGAGAACAGGCAGUGUCUUCCUCCGAUGCUUUGGGAAUUUGAUGAGAAUCAUCUUCCUGGUGCAAGGUCCAGUAAUUCUCACUUUUGGGUAAACGGGAAAUAUUCCCAACUUCUCAGCAUCUCCUUGCAUGACCUGUUGAGCUCCAGGCAAGCUUCCAAAUAUGAACACAGGUCAGCAAACAGAAUUGUAGGCAAGCAAGGAAAACAAAGACAACAUAACAGUUUGAGGAAACUGAAGAUUGAGAAGUACUGCCUUUAUUUGGCAAAUCUGAAGCCAACUGGUACAUGAGGGUGAAGCUCACGAACCGUUAAGUCGCGGCCCCUGGGGUCCUGUUCGGCUGCCACUGCCCCCAGUUUCUAGACUCCCCCUUCCCUCUCCAGCUGCUACUUCCUGCCUCCCCCCCACAGGGGGGCAAGGCAACAAAGUGAGCAGCUAAGGGAGCUGAGGAUAAGUAUGAGGCCAUGCAAGGGAGACAGUGUCUGUGUGCUGCAACAGUGGUGGUGGGGUGCCCUCCAGGACAUGUGCUGCACCUGGGUGGGGAGGGUCUGAAUUGUGCUUGCCUGCCCAUGUGCUAUAGCAGGGGGUGGGGUGCCUAGUACAGCCGUGGCAGGAAAGGGUGCCCUCAUGGCUGUACGGUGCAGUGGUGGGUGGGAGAAAAUGCCUAUGCAGCCCAAUAACCUGUGGCUUGACUGGUAGCGUAACCCCUGCUGUUGUGCCCCCGGGGCUUAGAAGUUGUUCAGCCCUUGUAUAACGUGUACAUGAAAUCAGUGUUUAAACAGAGGUCACAUUUAUUUCUGUACUAACUGCCAAAUCCAUUAGUGUUCCUAUCCCACUUUAGGCCUAAUAUAUCAUUACGUAGCUUCUUCAGUGCUUGUUUGUCAGACACCCUAUUGUUAUAUGUUGAGAGGCAAUGGGCCAAUUUUUCCAUCACGCUGCAGGAAACCAGGAUUAAUUCCAGAAUAGAGUUUUUCUAGAUUUAUAUUACUGUGAGAACAGCAUUGUUUUCAAUUAAAGAACUAGAUAAUCAUUUUACACAAUGUACAGCUAGAGUUAAAUUAGAUAUACAUAUAUAAUGAAGACUACCCAACUGUUCUAUUUUUUCUCAAUGCUAGAAAUAAAUGAGGAAAAGAGUUCAGAUUCUCUCUCUCUUUUUUUGUCUUUAAAUAGCUUUAAUCAAGUGACUUGAUCAUUUGAAAAGCUAUAUAAUGAAAUGCCAAAAAAGGUCAUUUUUGACUUUUUCCUAUCAGGCAGAGCUAUUAACCCUCAUAUGAGGUCCCUGCUGAAGGGUGCUUCCUUUUUCCUUGCUGUUUAGAAAAUACAGCAGUGGAUCUCAAGUUCACAGCUGCACAAGACAGUACUAAAAGUUGGGCGUGUUCUGGGAGGGAAAUCAUAGAAAAAUGUCACAAUUUCCAAUUUUUUCCCCUGUUCUAGAAUAGAGCUAUAACAAAACAGUUUCAA
Gavialis gangeticus (Gharial) is the source of this 2214-nucleotide long non-coding RNA. RefSeq lists it as uncharacterized. NCBI's taxonomy places the organism in Eukaryota, Metazoa, Chordata, Crocodylia, Gavialidae. The transcript has 3 exons. The record is from RefSeq and is a predicted model, not a curated record.